GACGAACGCUGGCGGCGUGCUUAACACAUGCAAGUCGAACGGAAAGGCCCUACUUGCAGGGUACUCGAGUGGCGAACGGGUGAGUAACACGUGGGUGAUCUGCCCUGCACUUCGGGAUAAGCCUGGGAAACUGGGUCUAAUACCGGAUAGGAGCCAUUUUUAGUGUGAUGGUUGGAAAGUUUUUUCGGUGUAGGAUGAGCUCGCGGCCUAUCAGCUUGUUGGUGGGGUAAUGGCCUACCAAGGCGGCGACGGGUAGCCGGCCUGAGAGGGUGGACGGCCACAUUGGGACUGAGAGACGGCCCAGACUCCGACGGGAGGCAGCAGUGGGGAAGAUUGCACAAUGGGCGCAAGCCUGAUGCAGCGACGCCGCGUGGGGGAUGACGGCCUUCGGGUUGUAAACUCCUUUCGCUAGGGACGAAGCUUUUUGUGACGGUACCUAGAUAAGAAGCACCGGCUAACUACGUG
Molecule: ribosomal RNA, 465 nt
Filed under: uncultured bacterium
Lineage: Bacteria
Description: partial 16S ribosomal RNA
Rfam family: Bacterial small subunit ribosomal RNA
Source: RNAcentral